CCAAUCGAACCCGGAGAUAGCUGGUUCUCCCCGAAAUAGCUUUAGGGCUAGCGUUGCGAUAGAUUACCGAAGGUAGAGCACUGAAUAGGCUAGGGGGCGAUGAGCUUACUGAACCUUAUCAAACUUCGAAUGUCGGAUAAUUGUUUCGCGGCAGUCAGACAGUGUGAGAUAAAUUUCAUUGUCAAAAGGGAAACAGCCCAGACCCACAGCUAAGGUCCCAAAUAUAUGCUAAGUGGAAAACGAUGUGGAUUUGCAAAAACAACCAGGAUGUUGGCUUAGAGGCAGCCACUCAUUAAAAGAGUGCGUAAUAGCUCACUGGUCGAGUGACCCUGCGCGGAAAAUAUAACGGGGCUAAGCGUCCAACCGAAGCUUGGGAUGUCUAAGGACAUGGUAGGGGAGCGUCGUGUAUAGGGAGAAGCAUGAGCGAGAGCACAUGUGGACAGUACACGAGUGAGAAUGCCGGAAUGAGUAGCGAGAAUUAUGUGGGAAUCAUAAUGGCCGAAAAUCUAAGGUUUCCUGGGCAAGGUUCGUCCUCCCAGGGUAAGUCGGGAGCUAAGGCGAGGCCGAGAGGCGUAGUCGAUGCACAUACGGUUGAAAUUCCGUAACCACCGAAAGAUUUAAACACAGGGACACAUAGAGAUAGCGGGACCCCGGCGUUGGUUGACCGGGGCGUAAGGGACCGAACAUCAGUAGGGAAGUCCGCGAUGCUCUGUGGCGAGAAAAGCUGUGUGUAUAUCUUAGGUGCCCGUACCGCAAACCGACACAGGUAGAUGAGGAGAGAAUCCUAAGGCCAACGGGAGAAGGGUUGUUAAGGAACUCGGCAAAUUGACCCCGUAACUUCGGGAUAAGGGGAGCCUCCUACGGGAGGCCGCAGUGAAUAGGCCCAAGCAACUGUUUACCAAAAACACAGGUCUCUGCUAAAUCGAAAGAUGACGUAUAGGGGCUGACGCCUGCCCGGUGCCGGAAGGUUAAGAGGAGAGCUUAGCGCAAGCGAAGGUUUGAAUUGAAGCCCCGGUAAACGGCGGCCGUAACUAUAACGGUCCUAAGGUAGCGAAAUUCCUUGUCAGGUAAGUUCUGACCCGCACGAAUGGCGUAAUGAUUUGGGCACUGUCUCAACAGCCCGCCCGGCGAAAUUGUAGUACUGGUGAAGAUGCCAGUUACCCGCAACUAGACGGAAAGACCCCAUGGAGCUUUACUGCAGCUUAAUACUGAGGAUUGGUAAUGCAUGUACAGGAUAGGUGGGAGCCUGGGAAACUCUGGCGUCAGCUGGAGCGGAGGCGCCCUUGGAAUACCACCCUUGUGUUACUGGUUUUCUAACCUGCGGCCGUGAAUCCGGUCGGGGGACACUGUUAGGCGGGCAGUUUGACUGGGGCGGUCGCCUCCAAAAGAGUAACGGAGGCGCUCAAAGGUUGGCUCAGCACGGACGGAAAUCGUGCAUAGAGUGCAAACGCAUAAGCCAAGUUGACUGCGAGACCGACGGGUCGAGCAGGUACGAAAGUAGGAGUUAGUGAUCCGGUGGUAUGUGAGUGGAAAUGCCAUCGCUCAACGGAUAAAAGCUACCCUGGGGAUAACAGGCUGAUCUCCCCCAAGCGUCCACAGCGACGGGGAGGUUUGGCACCUCGAUGUCGGCUCGUCACAUCCUGGGGCUGAAUUCGGUCCCAAGGGUUCGGCUGUUCGCCGAUUAAAGUGGCACGCGAGCUGGGUUCAGAACGUCGUGAGACAGUUCGGUCCCUAUCUGUUGCGGGCGCAGGAGAUUUGAUGGGAGCUGUCCUUAGUACGAGAGGACCGGGAUGGACAGACCUCUGGUGCACCAGUUGUCGUGCCAACGGCACAGCUGGGUAGCUACGUCUGGACGAGAUAAACGCUGAAAGCAUCUAAGCGUGAAACUCCCCCAAAGAUAAGAUCUCCCCCCUUUAUGGGGUAAGGGUCGAUGUAGACUACAUCGUUGAUAGGCCGAAGGUGUAAGCACGGUAACGUGUUCAGCUGAUCGGUACUAAUCACCCGAGGGCUUGACUU
This 2016-nucleotide ribosomal RNA is filed under the name human gut metagenome. RNAcentral describes it as "bacterial LSU rRNA". It matches the Rfam family "Bacterial large subunit ribosomal RNA", at positions 829 to 2925 of the family's 2925-position model. The record is from RNAcentral.